RNAcentral lists this transfer RNA (67 nucleotides) under Marmota monax (woodchuck). RNAcentral describes it as "tRNA.Ala". It matches the Rfam family "tRNA", at positions 6 to 65 of the family's 71-position model. Rfam says of the family: Transfer RNA (tRNA) molecules are approximately 80 nucleotides in length. Their secondary structure includes four short double-helical elements and three loops (D, anti-codon, and T loops). The record is from RNAcentral. Lineage: Eukaryota; Metazoa; Chordata; Mammalia; Rodentia; Sciuridae.
GGCUGUGGCUCAGUGGUGGAGCACUUGCCUAGCAUGUGUGAGGCCCUGGGUUCGAUCCUCAGCACCA